UACGAAGGGGGCUAGCGUUGCUCGGAAUCACUGGGCGUAAAGGGUGCGUAGGCGGGUCUUUAAGUCAGGGGUGAAAUCCUGGAGCUCAACUCCAGAACUGCCUUUGAUACUGAAGAUCUUGAGUUCGGGAGAGGUGAGUGGAACUGCGAGUGUAGAGGUGAAAUUCGUAGAUAUUAGGAAGAACACCGGUGGCGAAGGCGGCCCACUGGCUCGACACUGACGCUGAGGUGCGAAAGCGUGGGGAGCAAACAGG
This 253-nucleotide ribosomal RNA is filed under the name uncultured bacterium. RNAcentral describes it as "partial 16S ribosomal RNA". It matches the Rfam family "Bacterial small subunit ribosomal RNA", at positions 524 to 776 of the family's 1533-position model. The record is from RNAcentral.